This 490-nucleotide ribosomal RNA is filed under the name uncultured bacterium. Its description in RNAcentral is "partial 16S ribosomal RNA". It matches the Rfam family "Bacterial small subunit ribosomal RNA", at positions 30 to 507 of the family's 1533-position model. The record is from RNAcentral.
AUUGAACGCUGGCGGCAGGCCUAACACAUGCAAGUCGAACGGUAACAGGAAGCAGCUUGCUGCUUCGCUGACGAGUGGCGGACGGGUGAGUAAUGUCUGGGAAGCUGCCUGAUGGAGGGGGAUAACUACUGGAAACGGUAGCUAAUACCGCAUAAUGUCGCAAGACCAAAGAGGGGGACCUUCGGGCCUCUUGCCAUCGGAUGUGCCCAGAUGGGAUUAGCUUGUUGGUGGGGUAACGGCUCACCAAGGCGACGAUCCCUAGCUGGUCUGAGAGAAUGACCAGCCACACUGGAACUGAGACACGGUCCAGACUCCUACGGGAGGCAUCAGUGGGGAAUAUUGCACAAUGGGCGCAAGCCUGAUGCAGCCAUGCCGCGUGUAUGAAGAAGGCCUUCGGGUUGUAAAGUACUUUCAGCGGGGAGGAAGGGAGUAAAGUUAAUACCUUUGCUCAUUGACGUUACCCGCAGAAGAAGCACCGGCUAACUCCGUG